Molecule: ribosomal RNA, 328 nt
Filed under: uncultured eukaryote
Lineage: Eukaryota
Description: partial 18S ribosomal RNA
Rfam family: Eukaryotic small subunit ribosomal RNA
Source: RNAcentral
CCCUUAGAUGUCCUGGGCCGCACGCGCGUUACACUGAUGCAUUCAACGAGCUUAUAACCUUGGCCGAGAGGCCUGGGCAAUCUUGUUAACGUGCAUCGUGAUAGGGAUAGAUUAUUGAAAUUAUUAAUCUUGAACGAGGAAUUCCUAGUAAACGCAGAUCAUCAAUCUGCAUUGAUUACGUCCCUACCCUUUGUACACACCGCCCGUCGCACCUACCGAUUGGAUGGUCCGGUGAAGCCUCGGGAUUGUGGUUCUUGCCGCUUUAUUGUAGCGUGACCGCGAGAACUUGUCUAAACCUUAUCAUCUAGAGGAAGGUGAAGUCGUAACA